CGCCGGCGCCCGGCUCCGCAGCUCCGCUCCCAGCACCUCAUGCCCCUCGGAAAAGCCAGUUGCGAUGAGCCCCGGCCGCUGAGGAGAAGCUUGCAGCAGAGACCACACAGUGGCAGCAGGGUGGGAGGGAGCCCAGCUUGCCGCCAAGCUCCUCGGCGGUGACUGUGCCUUGGUGGACCACUCCAGUUGCCAGUGGUCAAGCUGGGUGCGAAAGUCACUCACCGCCAACCUGCACCCGCUACAGCUUCUUGCAAAGAGUCGUUCCUUGGAAACAGGGUAGCAGGUAUAAUAAAGACAUAUGUGUCAGGUGGAGAGUUCAUAAUUAUGUUGUAUUGUUGCUGCUUUGCUGACCGCAAGCUCCCGGUUUCUCCAGUCACUUUUGGAAGACCUGUAUGUUCUCUGGCAUAAUGCAAAAGCACAGUAAGCCCUUGUUAAACAUCCAGGACCUUAUGGGUCUGUCUGAGAAGAGAAUAAUCUGGAAGUAGAUAACAGUUCUAGUUUUUUAGGUUCUGCUGUAAGUGAAUGAGAAGAAAUAAUUGUCUAUGGAUUUCAGUUAGAGAUUGCCAGAGCAGGAAGGAGAAGAGCUCCGGAAAGCUUCUGGAAGUGCAAGUCGGAGUUAUUUAUAAGGAACUAGGGAAGCGGUACAGGCACCAGUCUGUUACAUGCAUUUGGCUUCUGGGGGUGACAUUCCCAUGCACACGAUCCAACUGAGAGAUGAUCUUGUUCAGGAUUUGAGACCUCGGUAAUUCUUCACUGAGGAGGGUGACUGUGAGUGCCAAGACUGACCCUGGGUGCUGUCCCACUCUCCUGAGGCAGCCAGAGCCCGCCUGCCAAUAGAAGUUUUUAUAUGUAAGUGCAAGAUGCAAGGCCCUUUUGGGGAUCCUGGAGGAGGCUACAGCACCCUGGCAAAUCCAACCAUCAUGUCUCCAUGUGGGUACCCCAACAGCUUUCUCCAGUCCUUUGAAGACUUAUGCAGUAGAUGCUUUAACUGCAGAUUAUUAGCAUCAGAGAUGUCACCGGAUCUAUCCAAUGGCUUAUCAUUAAAUCAUACAUUUUUACAGAAUAAUGGCUUAGGCCAGAGUUUUGUGUGAGAACUAGUGAGAUUUUAGGGCAUUUAGUACAGAAAGAAAAACACUGUAGUCACAUAACAUUAAGUGGUAAAUCAAUAUAUACCUAUUCUGCUGAAAUCAAAAGUUCCCCAAAGAAAAAUUGAGGGGCAGAGUUUGACAAGCCAAAUAUAUGUUGCCUCAAUUAUGUCAUUGUUAGUUACAUCAGUUCAGUCAGUCUUCCUGUAGUUGACAAGAAGCUGGCAUAAAAACAUAAAACAGGCAAAAAUAUCAUAUUGUAUGCUCUGACUAAUUCCUCAGAAAUGUGCCUGUGAGCUUGGGUCUGAUCUGGAUUGAUUCUGUGCGGUUGGCAGAUCCAGGAGGACACAGACUGGGACUGUGAUGAUUGUAGAACCACAACUGCAAUUUUUCAUUGUAGCUUCAUUGUGGCUCAUUUAAACUGCAUGUUCCUAGGAGCAGAGCCUUCUUGCAUUUGGUCUGUUUAUUUUGGUGUGCUAUAAAGAGUGCUCAUCUGUAGAUCUAUAUAAAUACAAUUCAUACUAUUGCGCAUUGAAAUAAUCUCUUUGUAGUUAUUGCUACACAAAAUUAUUCCAUUUACACCUUAAAAUGAAAGAAAUAGUUGAGAUAAAAUCCUGCCAUAUGGAUCAAAUCUUGCAAAAUUUGUGACAUUUUAUGUACUGCUCUGUGGCAAUUGUGAAUAAAAGGCUACCACAUUUUUUAAUGAGAA
Molecule: long non-coding RNA, 1794 nt
Organism: Dromaius novaehollandiae (emu)
Lineage: Eukaryota; Metazoa; Chordata; Aves; Casuariiformes; Dromaiidae
Exons: 2
Source: RefSeq, a predicted model, not a curated record